GCUUACGGCCAUACCAUCCUGAGUACGCCUGAUCUCGGAAGCAAAGCAGGGUCAGGCAUGGUUAGUACUUGGUUUGGAGAGCGCUUGAGAAUAUCAGGUGCUGUAAGCU
RNAcentral lists this ribosomal RNA (109 nucleotides) under Salmo salar (Atlantic salmon). Lineage: Eukaryota; Metazoa; Chordata; Actinopteri; Salmoniformes; Salmonidae. The record is from RNAcentral.